UGAAAACAUGCUAUUCUUAUAUAUGUGGAUGGAUAAAUCUUUUCAACACAAGGAACAUACUGUACACUCUAAACCACAUGGAGUGACUCCAGCCGCCCUCACUCACUUUUACUUUAAUCAUAUUCAACCUCUGAGAGAGGGUCAGAUGUAAUUAUAGCACACAGUGGGCAUGUUUAAAGAGGUAUCCCUCUCUGGUGACUGGAGAUUGUCUGGAUACAGUGCUGUAGGAGAAGAAAUUUAGCUCUACCUGAACCCUCCUAAUGGUGUCUUUAAGUCUUAAAGCUCGACUUCAAACAAACAACUUCAAAAGCAGGGUUAACGCCUCCCACUUAAAGCCUCGGGACACAUGCCUUCUUCAGAGUUUCAGAAGAGAUCUUAACAAUGUCUUCGAUUUGUCAAGAUGCCAAAAUCUGCAAUUUAAUGGAUGUAAUGGAUCUUCCCAAUGUCUAGCCUGAGCCUUUGACCUUUGGCCUGAUCUUUGGCCACUUACAAAGCAGUCUCUGAACAAUACAUUUUUUCCAUCUACAGAACUUCAAUGAUUGCUUCAAUUUCAUCCAAAUUUUGUGCAUUUACAAAACAGAGAGCAUAGUUGGUAGGCAUCUUAAGGCAGUCAUGACAAAUGGUCAAGAACACAUUCAACUUUCAGUUUCUGAACUGCUUGCUCUUGCCUUUGCAGCUGUUAGUUCUGUAAGUUGAAAGUUCUCUCAUUCCUCUGCACAGAUUCUUGCACUUGGCAAGUACAGACCUUUU
This is a long non-coding RNA of Cyprinus carpio (common carp), 750 nucleotides long. NCBI's taxonomy places the organism in Eukaryota, Metazoa, Chordata, Actinopteri, Cypriniformes, Cyprinidae. The record is from Ensembl.